Molecule: ribosomal RNA, 2574 nt
Filed under: Drosophila serrata
Lineage: Eukaryota; Metazoa; Arthropoda; Insecta; Diptera; Drosophilidae
Description: eukaryotic LSU rRNA
Rfam family: Eukaryotic large subunit ribosomal RNA
Source: RNAcentral
UCCUUCCGAAGUUUCCCUCAGGAUAGCUGGUGCAUUUUAAUGUUAUAUAAAUAAUCUUAUCUGGUAAAGCGAAUGAUUAGAGGCCUUAGGGUCGAAACGAUCUUAACCUAUUCUCAAACUUUAAAUGGGUAAGAACCUAACUUCUUGAUAUGAAGUUUAAGGUUAUGAUAUAAUGUGCCCAGUGGGCCACUUUUGGUAAGCAGAACUGGCGCUGUGGGAUGAACCAAACGUAAUGUUACGGUGCCCAAAUUAACAACUCAUGCAGAUACCAUGAAAGGCGUUGGUUGCUUAAAACAGCAGGACGUGAUCAUGGAAGUCGAAAUCCGCUAAGGAGUGUGUAACAACUCACCUGCCGAAGCAACUAGCCCUUAAAUGGAUGGCGCUUAAGUUGUAUACCUAUACAUUACCGCUAAAGUAGAUGAUUAUAUUACUUGUAAUAUAAAUUUUGAAACUUUAGUGAGUAGGAAGGUACAAUGUAUGCGUAGAAGUGUUUGGCGUAAGCCUGCAGGAGCUGCAUUGGUACAGAUCUUGGUGGUAGUAGCAAAUAAUCGAAUGAGACCUUGGAGGACUGAAGUGGAGAAGGGUUUCGUGUGAACAGUGGUUGAUCACGAGUUAGUCGGUCCUAAGUUCAAGGCGAAAGCCGAAAAUUUUCAAGUAAUAAAAUGACUAUAUAUUACAAAAAUGCCAAUUAAUAUACUUGAAUAAUUUGAACGAAAGGGAAUACGGUUCCAAUUCCGUAACCUGUUGAGUAUCCGUUUGUUAUUAAAUAUGGGCCUCGUGCUCAUCCUGGCAACAGGAACGACCAUAAAGAAGCCGUCGAGAGAUAUCGGAAGAGUUUUCUUUCUGUUUUAUAGCCGUACUACCAUGGAAGUCUUUCGCAGAGAGAUAUGGUAGAUGGGCUAGAAGAGCAUGACAUAUACUGUUGUGUCGAUAUUUUCUCCUCGGACCUUGAAAAUUUAUGGUGGGGAUACGCAAACUUCUCAACAGGCCGUACCAAUAUCCGCAGCUGGUCUCCAAGGUGAAGAGUCUCUAGUCGAUAGAAUAAUGUAGGUAAGGGAAGUCGGCAAAUUAGAUCCGUAACUUCGGGAUAAGGAUUGGCUCUGAAGAUUGAGAUAGUCGGGCUUGAUUGGGAAACAAUAACAUGGUUUAUGUGCUCGUUCUGGGUAAAUAGAGUUUCUAUCAUUUAUGUUAGUUGCUUGUUCCCCGGAUAGUUUAGUUACGUAGCCAAUUGUGGAACUUUCUUGCUAAAAUUUUUAAGAAUACUAGUUGGGUCAAACCAAUUAGUUCUUAUUAAUUAUAACGAUUAUCAAUUAACAAUCAUUCAGAACUGGCACGGACUUGGGGAAUCCGACUGUCUAAUUAAAACAAAGCAUUGUGAUGGCCCUAGCGGGUGUUGACACAAUGUGAUUUCUGCCCAGUGCUCUGAAUGUCAAAGUGAAGAAAUUCAAGUAAGCGCGGGUCAACGGCGGGAGUAACUAUGACUCUCUUAAGGUAGCCAAAUGCCUCGUCAUCUAAUUAGUGACGCGCAUGAAUGGAUUAACGAGAUUCCUACUGUCCCUAUCUACUAUCUAGCGAAACCACAGCCAAGGGAACGGGCUUGGAAUAAUUAGCGGGGAAAGAAGACCCUUUUGAGCUUGACUCUAAUCUGGCAGUGUAAGGAGACAUAAGAGGUGUAGAAUAAGUGGGAGAUAUUAGACUUCGGUUUGGUAUCGACAAUGAAAUACCACUACUCUUAUUGUUUCCUUACUUACUUGAUUAAAUGGAACGUGUAUCAUUUCCUAGCCAUUAUACGGAUAUAUUUAUUAUAUCUUAUGGUAUUGGGUUUUGAUGCAAGCUUCUUGAUCAAAGUAUCACGAGUUUGUUAUAUAAUCGCAAACAAAUUCUUUAAUGAGACGAUGCAUUUAUGUAUUUUUGAUUUGAAAAUUUGGUAUAACUCCAAUUACUCAGGUAUGAUCCAAUUCAAGGACAUUGCCAGGUAGGGAGUUUGACUGGGGCGGUACAUCUCUCAAAUAAUAACGGAGGUGUCCCAAGGCCAGCUCAGUGCGGACAGAAACCACACAUAGAGCAAAAGGGCAAAUGCUGACUUGAUCUCGGUGUUCAGUACACACAGGGACAGCAAAAGCUCGGCCUAUCGAUCCUUUUGGUUUAAAGAGUUUUUAACAAGAGGUGUCAGAAAAGUUACCAUAGGGAUAACUGGCUUGUGGCGGCCAAGCGUUCAUAGCGACGUCGCUUUUUGAUCCUUCGAUGUCGGCUCUUCCUAUCAUUGUGAAGCAAAUUCACCAAGCGUUGGAUUGUUCACCCAUGCAAGGGAACGUGAGCUGGGUUUAGACCGUCGUGAGACAGGUUAGUUUUACCCUACUAAUGACAAAACGUUGUUGCGACAGCAUUCCUGCGUAGUACGAGAGGAACCGCAGGUACGGACCAAUGGCACAAUACUUGUUCGAGCGAACAGUGGUAUGACGCUACGUCCGUUGGAUUAUGCCUGAACGCCUCUAAGGUCGUAUCCGUGCUGGACUGCAAUGAUAAAUAAGGGGCAAUUUGCAUUGUAUGGCUUCUAAACCAUUUAAAGUUUGU